Molecule: non-coding RNA, 46 nt
Organism: Ophiophagus hannah (king cobra)
Lineage: Eukaryota; Metazoa; Chordata; Lepidosauria; Squamata; Elapidae
Source: Rfam
CAAAAGGCUCUUUUAAGGGCCACCCACGUAUAUCAAGGAAGGAGCU